RNAcentral lists this ribosomal RNA (948 nucleotides) under Halalaimus sp. BC05-6. RNAcentral describes it as "bacterial SSU rRNA". It matches the Rfam family "Eukaryotic small subunit ribosomal RNA", at positions 55 to 1017 of the family's 1831-position model. Lineage: Eukaryota; Metazoa; Nematoda; Enoplea; Enoplida; Oxystominidae. The record is from RNAcentral.
AUGUAUCAGCACAAGCCUCAAAAUGGUGAAGCCGCGAAUAGCUCAUUACAACAGUCGUAGUUUAUUAGAAAGUAUGCUAUGGAUAACUGUGGUAAUUCUAGAGCUAAUACAUGUUCUAAGCCCUGACUCACGCAAGGGUGCAUUUAUUAGAACAAAGCCGAUCAGACUAUGUCUGUCUCAGGUUGACUCUGAAUAACUUUGCUAAUCGCACAGUCUUUGUACUGGCGAUGUAUCUUUCAAAUGUCUGCCUUAUCAACUGUUGAUGGUAGAUUAUGCGCCUACCAUGGUUGCCACGGGUAACGGAGAAUCAGGGUUUGAUUCCGGAGAGGGAGCCUGAGAAACAGCUACCACAUCCAAGGAAGGCAGCAGGCACGCAAAUUACCCACUCCCAGUUCGGGGAGGUAGUGACGAAAAAUAACGAGACGAUGCUCUACGAGUAUCGUCAUCGGAAUGAGAACAAUCUAAAUACUUUAACGAGUAUCUAUUGGAGGGCAAGUCUGGUGCCAGCAGCCGCGGUAAUUCCAGCUCCAAUAGCGUAUAUUAAAGUUGUUGCGGUUAAAAAGCUCGUAGUUGGAUCUGAGAUUGUGGACAGCGGUCCUCAAAUGAGUUGUACUGCUUGUUCCGGUCUAAUCUGUUGGUUGGUGUGCAGUGCUCUUUAUUGAGUGUUGUAUGCUGCCAACUAUUUUACUUUGAAGAAAUUAGAGUGCUCAAAGCAGGCGACUGCUCGAAUAUUGGUGCAUGGAAUAAUGGAAUAGGGCCUUGGUUCUAUUUUGUUGGUUUUAGGAGCACGAGGCAAUGAUUAAGAGAGACAGACGGGGGCAUUUGUAUUGCUGCGUUAGAGGUGAAAUUCUUGGAUCGUAGCAAGACAAACGACUGCGAAAGCAUUUGCCAAGAAUGUUUUCAUUAAUCAAGAACGAAAGUUAGAGGUUCGAAGGCGAUCAGAUACCG